CAGCCUCACACCCAAGUCCCAUAGAAAAGAUUUGCUGGACAACAACACAGUUUAAUAUACCACAGAACGACAUGGCUGGGAGUAUUGCAAGGCAAUAGGACGAUUCCCAGCCUUCAAGAUAAUGCAGAAAAGAUCCCGAGGACUAGAGAAAGUCAUACAGAAUCCUAUUUCGACUGAAAGGACUGUAUUUUAGAAAAAUCCCUCUGUGCAAAUUCAAGCCCCAAUCAAAGCUUAUCUCCUUCUUUAAAAAGCAAACCAAACCCUUAUCGUCGUCUUGGGAAAUCUUUGCAGAGAGGUCUAGGAAAGAAGGGAAUCCGGACAUAAAGGAAAUACUAUCGACGACGAUUCUGGAGAGCCUGGUUCGAGUCUCCUUUGCCGCUGCCCUGAAACCCAUUGGAAUCACACUGUCUCAGCCUCAGAAAAUCCUUGGUGUUUUCAAGACAGCUCUAAGGUAUGGAGAACAAUACCUUAGUUGAAUCAUUAAUCAUCAUGGAGGCAGCAGCUAAAGGAACCAGAAGAAGCCAAGGGUGCAUCUACAUUGUAGAAUGAAUGGAGUUAGUUGGGCGAGGCAUCAGUACUCUUUUGGCAGAAACAGCUACAGCUCCCAUGAUUCCAUAGCACUGAACCAUGGCAGUUAAAGUGGUGUAAAACUGGUCGGGCUGUGGCGCAGGCUGGUUAGCAGACAGCUACAACAAAUCACUCUGACCAAGAGGUCAUGAGUUCGAGGCCAGUCAGUGCCUGUGUUUGUCUCAGUCUCUGUUCUAUGUUAUAUGGCAUUGAAUGUUUGCCUUAUAUGUGUGCAAUGUGAUCUGCCCUGAAUCCCCUUCGGGCUGAGAAGGGCGGAAUAUAAAUACUGUAAAUAAAUAAACAAAGUGAUAUACAGUAGAGUCUCACUUAUCCAACAUAAACGGGUCAGCAGAACGUUGGAUAAGCGAAUAUGUUGGAUAAUAAGGAGAGAUUAAGGAAAAGCCUAUUAAACAUCAAAUUAGGUUAUGAUUUUACAAAUUAAGCACCAAAACAUCAUGUUAUACAACAAAUUGGACAGAAAAAGUAGUUCAAUAUGCAGUAAUGCUAUGUAGUAAUUACUAUAUUUAUGAAUUUAGCACCAAAAUAUCACAAUAUAUUGAAAACAUUGACUACAAAAAUGCGUUGGAUAAUCCAGAACGUUGGAUAAGCGAGUCUUGGAUAAGUGAGACUCUACUGUAUCACUGAAUACUGCAAUAUUCACAGGACUGGUUUCUGUGGAUUCAUUUACUGGUGUCCAAUAAAAUAUGUUCUGUUUAGGCAUUUUCUAGGUCCUUAA
Long non-coding RNA from Anolis carolinensis (green anole), 1303 nucleotides. RefSeq lists it as uncharacterized. The record is from RefSeq and is a predicted model, not a curated record. The transcript is spliced from 2 exons. Lineage: Eukaryota; Metazoa; Chordata; Lepidosauria; Squamata; Anolidae.